Molecule: long non-coding RNA, 795 nt
Organism: Thamnophis elegans (Western terrestrial garter snake)
Lineage: Eukaryota; Metazoa; Chordata; Lepidosauria; Squamata; Natricidae
Exons: 3
Source: RefSeq, a predicted model, not a curated record
UUGCCGGCUCCGUCCUCGGGACUUCCACUUUUUUGACUGGGUUGUAAUAAACUGCUACUCCGUGAAUAGGCGUGAGAUGGAGCAGGAGUUUAAGAUGAUAUAUAAGAUAUCCUUCCUCCAUUUUCCUCCCACAACAACCAUAUGAGGGAAGGGACUUUGUUAUAACAGAAACUCCAGAAGAAGGAAGAGAAGCAACCUUAUACUGAUACUUUUACUAAGAUUUCCUGUCCACUUAACUACAGUGCUAGUAAAUGCUAAACCAAAUAAAUAUCAAAAUUUGAUUUUGAAAGAGGAUAUUAGCAAUCAAAGUGCAGUUGCAAAAAUGGGUAUAAUUAGCAAUGUAGUUUGAGAAAGUUUUCAGGAACAAACUUUCUGAGAAAUAAAUAUAAAGUGAUUCUAAAAUACAGUACCCACGUAGAUGAUAGAACCACCUCAAAUGCUAAACAAGCUCAAAAUAAAUUAGUCAUCAACAGCCUAUAGAGGAGGUCAGGAAGUAAAAAAAAUAGCAGCAUGAAAUAAUCUCUAUGUAUUGCUGCUAAAAGAAUUAAAGGGUGGCAGGAAGUCACCAAGGUUGAGUGUGACUUUAAGGAAAUGUUGCUUUUUAAAAAAGAUAUCCCAUGUUAAACAAAUAUACUAUACAAGCACACUUAUAUAUCCUGUUUAAAAGAAAAAUUGACCACAUUGUGAAAAACUUGCUUAUUUCCAACCUGUGUUGUUGUCUAGUGUUUGUUAAUAGACUUCUGUUAUUUGUAAUAUUACCAACCCCCAUUUUCUACUUUUAAGGUAAUAAUUAUG